Molecule: long non-coding RNA, 1958 nt
Filed under: Dasypus novemcinctus (nine-banded armadillo)
Lineage: Eukaryota; Metazoa; Chordata; Mammalia; Cingulata; Dasypodidae
Description: lncRNA (ENSDNOG00000052032.1)
Source: RNAcentral
GCCUACGUGCGCGGGCGGGAGCGACCCGUGGCUCCGGCGUGAACCCGCGGCCCCCGCACCCGCAGCGCCGUGGUCUCGGGCGGGGGCGCUGACCCCGGCGUUCAGGAUCCGCACACACCCCGGGAAACUCAAGCUCCCGGAGAGGGGAAGGAGCGGCAGCAUCGACAUCCCAAGGGCUCCUGUCCCGGUCCCAUCCCCUUCCCGCUCAGCUCACGCCUCGCGUCUCUGCCAAAGGAGGAAGUUCUCCUGUGCUAAACAAUGAGCUGUCGCUGGUGUCUCAGCCGUGACCCUCUCCCAGGGGCAAUCAGGGCCGCCCGUGCCAAGGCUCAGCUCUCGCGCUGCUCCCUUCUAUUUGGAGGGGAACUCUCAAGGAGGAUCCAACUGCCCAGAAACCCCUGCCUCGGGAGGGACCAGUUCUGCUCUAAGGAGUCCACGCUUGGGCAAUGGGUUUGGAUUUCCAAGUCCAGUUGCCAAGUCUCUAUCUCCUCCUGGCUAAUCUGCCAGUAUUUGAAGCAAUCUGCCACCAAGUGAGUGGUGAUACCUUAAAUUUUCAAAUGACUAGACUCCCAUAAGUAAGAUUCACUGAGUUUGAGAGUAUAGCAUGUGUGUAAUAAGUUACACAUGUAAAAGGUAAAACUUGGGAUACGGAUGUGGCUCAAGUAGUUGGCCUCCUGUUUACAUAUAGGAGGUCCAGGGUUAGAUGCCCAGGGCCUCCUGGUGAAGGCGAGCUGGCCUGCGCGGCGAGCUGGCCCACGUGGAGUACCGGCCCACACGGUAGUGCCGCCCCACACAGGAAUGCCACCCCAUGCAGGAGUGUCGCUCCGCACAGGAGUGGAGAACUGGCGCAGCAAGAUGAUGCCACAAGAGACACAAUGAGAAUAUAAGCAGACACAGAAGAACACACAGCAAACGGACAGAGAGCAGACAAUGGUGGGGAAGGGGGAGGAGAAAUAAAUAAAUAAAUCUUUAAAAAAAAAAAAAACUAAAACUCCAGCCACCCCACUUCCUCUGCCACUCUUCUUACUUGACCAGGUUGGUUUUGGGCUCUGAAAGAGCUAUUCUGGCACACUGGAGUCCUCCUCUGGGUCCAAGACACUAAAAAUUCCUUUACGUUCUCCUCAUUUUGUAGACAAAACAAUCUAGGCAAAUGUAGAAAAGAAUUUUAUGGGAAAAAAGAGGCUCAGUAAAGAAAGGUCCCAAGAUGAAUGAGAGUGUUAAUAACUGCUGCUUACCCACUGGAAUUCAGUGCAAUUUGUGUGAACAAGAUUAUGAGUCAGUAUUAUGUCAGCCUUGCGCGCUGAGUAUACGUGCAGUCUCCCAAAGCAGAACUAGGUCUAAAAUGUAAUAGUUCUCUUUCAGGGCUCAGUUACUCACCACUUUCAAGUAACUGUUUUCCUCUUCUCAUUUCAGUGGCUUCCCAUAUAUGUCCUCUCUCUUUUGUAUUUAUAAUGCAUACUGACAUUUUGUAUUGUUGUUUUUAAAUUUUCAUUGUGGUAACAAAUAAAUAACCAAGUUUGCCCUCUAAACCCUGUCUAAGUGUACAAUGCAGUGGCAUUAACUACGUGCACAGUUUGUGUGUUAACAAAACUUACCCAUCACCCCAAACAGAAUCUCUGUACUCAUUAGGCAGUGACCUCCCAUCCCCGCAUCUGUCUGUCCCUGGUAACUGCUAAUCAACCCUCUGUCUCUUGGAAUUUGCUUAUUCUAGAUAUUUCUUAUGAGUAGAGGCAUACACUAUUUGUCCUUUCAUGUGUUUUUCUCACUUAGCAUAAUGUUUUCAAGGCCCAACCAUGUGGUAGCAUGAUCAGCACUCAUUCCUCUGUGAGGCUGAGUAAUAUUCCAUUGUGUAUAUGUACCACAUUUUAUUUAUCCAUUCAUCUGUGGACGGACACUUGAGUUGUUUCCACCUUUUGGCUUUUGCUAAUGCUGCUAUAAAAACUGGUGUACAAGUAUCUAUC